This 253-nucleotide ribosomal RNA is filed under the name uncultured bacterium. RNAcentral describes it as "partial 16S ribosomal RNA". It matches the Rfam family "Bacterial small subunit ribosomal RNA", at positions 524 to 776 of the family's 1533-position model. The record is from RNAcentral.
UAGGUAGGGUGCAAGCGUUAAUCGGAAUUACUGGGCGUAAAGCGUGCGCAGGCGGUUUUGUAAGUCUGACGUGAAAUCCCCGGGCUCAACCUGGGAAUUGCGAUGGAGACUGCAAGGCUUGAAUCUGGCAGAGGGGGGUAGAAUUCCACGUGUAGCAGUGAAAUGCGUAGAGAUGUGGAGGAACACCGAUGGCGAAGGCAGCCCCCUGGGUCAAGAUUGACGCUCAUGCACGAUAGCGUGGGGAGCAAACAGG